GAUGAAGAACGUAGCGAAAUGCGAUAAGUAGUGUGAAUUGCAGAAUUCCGUGAAUCAUCGAAUCUUUGAACGCACAUUGCGCCUUCUGGUAUUCCGGAAGGCAUGCCUGUUCGAGAGUCAUUAACAACCGUUUCGAUCCCUUUCUUUCAGAAAUUACAAAGAGGAAAAGGGUUUGGUUAUGGUGGAGGAGGGAAAGGGAGCGUUUAGCCUGUAAAAAAAGAGGCUGUGUUCCGCCUCCCCCCCAAAAUUGUACAGGCGGUCGUGUGCGCCCACGCAUCGAGGUGUUGUAAAAGCUGCCACGGCACUUUUCACCUGUGCAGUGCGAGAUUGGCCAGCCGGUUUAAAAACCCCUCCAAACAAUCAAAGGUUGACCUCGGAUCAGGUAGGGAUACCCGCUGAACUUAAGCAUGUCAAUAAGCGGAGGA
RNAcentral lists this unclassified non-coding RNA (425 nucleotides) under soil metagenome. RNAcentral's name for it is "partial contains 5.8S ribosomal RNA, internal transcribed spacer 2, and large subunit ribosomal RNA". The stretch from base 1 to 120 matches the Rfam family "5.8S ribosomal RNA", at positions 35 to 154 of the family's 154-position model. The record is from RNAcentral.